This 300-nucleotide ribosomal RNA is filed under the name uncultured Oceanospirillales bacterium. RNAcentral's name for it is "bacterial SSU rRNA". It matches the Rfam family "Bacterial small subunit ribosomal RNA", at positions 114 to 414 of the family's 1533-position model. The record is from RNAcentral. Lineage: Bacteria; Pseudomonadati; Pseudomonadota; Gammaproteobacteria; Oceanospirillales.
CGCGUAGGAAUCUACCUAGUAGUGGGGGACAACUCGGGGAAACUCGAGCUAAUACCGCAUACGCCCUACGGGGGAAAGGCGGGGGACCGUUCGGGCCGUCGUGCUAUUAGAUGAGCCUGCGUUGGAUUAGCUAGUUGGUGGGGUAAAGGCCUACCAAGGCGACGAUCCAUAGCUGGUCUGAGAGGAUGAUCAGCCACACCGGGACUGAGACACGGCCCGGACUCCUACGGGAGGCAGCAGUGGGGAAUAUUGCGCAAUGGGCGAAAGCCUGACGCAGCCAUGCCGCGUGUGUGAAGAAGG